RNAcentral lists this ribosomal RNA (253 nucleotides) under uncultured bacterium. RNAcentral describes it as "partial 16S ribosomal RNA". It matches the Rfam family "Bacterial small subunit ribosomal RNA", at positions 524 to 776 of the family's 1533-position model. The record is from RNAcentral.
UACAGAGGUCUCAAGCGUUGUUCGGAUUCAUUGGGCGUAAAGGGUGCGUAGGCGGCGCGGUAAGUCGGGUGUGAAAUCUCGGGGCUUAACUCCGAAACUGCAUUCGAUACUGCCGUGCUUGAGGACUGGAGAAGAGACUGGAAUUUACGGUGUAGCGGUGAAAUGCGUAGAUAUCGUAAGGAAGACCAGUGGCGAAGGCGGGUCUCUGGACAGUUCCUGACGCUGAGGCACGAAGGCCAGGGGAGCAAGCGGG